This 571-nucleotide ribosomal RNA is filed under the name uncultured bacterium. RNAcentral describes it as "partial 16S ribosomal RNA". It matches the Rfam family "Bacterial small subunit ribosomal RNA", at positions 355 to 914 of the family's 1533-position model. The record is from RNAcentral.
UGGGGAAUAUUGCACAAUGGGCGCAAGCCUGAUGCAGCCAUGCCGCGUGUGUGAAGAAGGCCUUCGGGUUGUAAAGCACUUUCAGCGAGGAGGAAGGUGUGAGCUUAAUACGCUCAUCAAUUGACGUUACUCGCAGAAGAAGCACCGGCUAACUCCGUGCCAGCAGCCGCGGUAAUACGGAGGGUGCAAGCGUUAAUCGGAAUUACUGGGCGUAAAGCGCACGCAGGCGGUUUGUUAAGUCAGAUGUGAAAUCCCCGGGCUCAACCUGGGAACUGCAUUUGAAACUGGCAAGCUAGAGUCUCGUAGAGGGGGGUAGAAUUCCAGGUGUAGCGGUGAAAUGCGUAGAGAUCUGGAGGAAUACCGGUGGCGAAAGGCGGCCCCCCUGGACGAAGACUGACGCUCAGGUGCGAAAGCGUGGGGAGCAAAACAGGAUUAGAUACCCUGGUAGUCCACGCUGUAAAACGAUGUCGAUUUUGGAGGUUGUGCCCUUGAGGCGUGGCUUCCGGAGCUAACGCGUUAAAUCGACCGCCUGGGGAGUACGGCCGCAAGGUUAAAACUCAAAUGAAUUGAC